UACCAGCACCCCGAGUGGUCGGGACGAUUAUUGGGCCUAAAGCAUCCGUAGCCGGUUCUGCAAGUCCCCCGUUAAAUCCAGCUGCUCAACAGAUGGGCCGCGGAGGAUACUACAGAGCUAGGAGGCGGGAGAGGCAAGCGGUACUCGAUGGGUAGGGGUAAAAUCCGUUGAUCCAUUGAAGACCACCAGUGGCGAAGGCGGCUUGCCAGAACGCGCUCGACGGUGAGGGAUGAAAGCUGGGGGAGCAAACCGG
RNAcentral lists this ribosomal RNA (253 nucleotides) under uncultured bacterium. RNAcentral describes it as "partial 16S ribosomal RNA". It matches the Rfam family "Archaeal small subunit ribosomal RNA", at positions 474 to 727 of the family's 1478-position model. The record is from RNAcentral.